Molecule: ribosomal RNA, 424 nt
Filed under: uncultured prokaryote
Description: bacterial SSU rRNA
Rfam family: Bacterial small subunit ribosomal RNA
Source: RNAcentral
CAAGGAAUUUUCCCCAAUGGGCGCAAGCCUGAGGGAGCAACGCCGCGUGCAGGAUGACGGCUUUCGGGUUGUCAACUGCUUUUGCGUGGGACGAUAACGACGGUACCACGCGAAUAAGCCCCGGCUAACUCUGUGCCAGCAGCCGCGGCUAUACAGAGGGGGCAAGCGUUGUCCGGCCUUACUGGGCGUAAAGCGCACGCAGGUGGUAAGGCAAGUGGGGUGUGAAAGCCGCCAGCUUAACUGGCGGAGGCGAUCCCAAACUGCCUCACUUAAGGCCUGUAGAGGUAUGUGGAAUUGCCGGUGUAGUGGUGAAAUGCGUAGAGAUCGGCAGGAACACCCAGGGGGAAACCAGCAUACUGGACAGGACCUGACACUCAGGUGCGACAGCGUGGGGAGCGAACCGGAUUAGAUACCCGUGUAGUCC